Molecule: long non-coding RNA, 591 nt
Filed under: Mustela putorius furo (domestic ferret)
Lineage: Eukaryota; Metazoa; Chordata; Mammalia; Carnivora; Mustelidae
Description: lncRNA (ENSMPUG00000027153.1)
Source: RNAcentral
GUUCGGGUCACGGGGGCCGAGCCAAGAGAAAGGCGUGCGCUCUGUCUCAAGUUGUCACAGCCGUGUAAACAGACAAGAGGGCGCAUUCAAGAGACGAUGGUCACGUCCAGUCCACGUUCUUGGCGUAAGCGCAGCUCCGCUAGGCACGCCAGGGGAGCCUCACUGUGUUGGCAGCCACCAUGCUAUAAGAAGUCUGCGUGAGACCCCGUGUUGGGGUGUUCCUGUUGAAGCUCCAGCUGCCCCCGCAGCAUGCCGUCACCCGACGUGAGCCAUCUUUGACAUUUGCACGGGACCGUCUUCAGAUAAUUCCAGCCCCCGCUGAAUUCUGACAUGCAAACAACAUGGGACACCCGAAGCAAGAACCCACCAGCUAAGCUCAGACAAGUCCCAAACGUCACGAAAUUCUGAUGCAUCCAUGUUUCAAGUUAAAAGCUGUGGAUGGCUUGUUACAUACAGCCAUGGAUAACUGCAACACCCGCGGGUCCUCAACCAAUCUGUAGGAUGAUGCUCCGCUCAGGCCCAUCUGAUAUGUAUGUUGACAGGAUGUCCGUAUGUUCAGCAUCAGUAGAAACCACCUGGGAGUUUUCCAAA